This 1268-nucleotide ribosomal RNA is filed under the name Microbacterium sp. LV10fR510-15. RNAcentral's name for it is "bacterial SSU rRNA". It matches the Rfam family "Bacterial small subunit ribosomal RNA", at positions 57 to 1340 of the family's 1533-position model. Lineage: Bacteria; Bacillati; Actinomycetota; Actinomycetes; Micrococcales; Microbacteriaceae. The record is from RNAcentral.
GCAGUCGACGGUGAAGAGAGCUUGCUCUCUGGAUCAGUGGCGAACGGGUGAGUAACACGUGAGCAAUCUGCCCCUGACUCUGGGAUAACAGUUGGAAACAGCUGCUAAUACCGGAUACGAGCUUCGAAGGCAUCUUCAGAAGCUGGAAAGAACUUCGGUCAGGGAUGAGCUCGCGGCCUAUCAGCUAGUUGGUGAGGUAAUGGCUCACCAAGGCGUCGACGGGUAGCCGGCCUGAGAGGGUGACCGGCCACACUGGGACUGAGACACGGCCCAGACUCCUACGGGAGGCAGCAGUGGGGAAUAUUGCACAAUGGGCGCAAGCCUGAUGCAGCAACGCCGCGUGAGGGACGACGGCCUUCGGGUUGUAAACCUCUUUUAGCAGGGAAGAAGCGAAAGUGACGGUACCUGCAGAAAAAGCGCCGGCUAACUACGUGCCAGCAGCCGCGGUAAUACGUAGGGCGCAAGCGUUAUCCGGAAUUAUUGGGCGUAAAGAGCUCGUAGGCGGUUUGUCGCGUCUGCUGUGAAAACUGGAGGCUCAACCUCCAGCCUGCAGUGGGUACGGGCAGACUAGAGUGCGGUAGGGGAGAUUGGAAUUCCUGGUGUAGCGGUGGAAUGCGCAGAUAUCAGGAGGAACACCGAUGGCGAAGGCAGAUCUCUGGGCCGUAACUGACGCUGAGGAGCGAAAGGGUGGGGAGCAAACAGGCUUAGAUACCCUGGUAGUCCACCCCGUAAACGUUGGGAACUAGUUGUGGGGUCCAUUCCACGGAUUCCGUGACGCAGCUAACGCAUUAAGUUCCCCGCCUGGGGAGUACGGCCGCAAGGCUAAAACUCAAAGGAAUUGACGGGGACCCGCACAAGCGGCGGAGCAUGCGGAUUAAUUCGAUGCAACGCGAAGAACCUUACCAAGGCUUGACAUAUACGAGAACGGGCUAGAAAUAGUCAACUCUUUGGACACUCGUAAACAGGUGGUGCAUGGUUGUCGUCAGCUCGUGUCGUGAGAUGUUGGGUUAAGUCCCGCAACGAGCGCAACCCUCGUUCUAUGUUGCCAGCACGUAAUGGUGGGAACUCAUGGGAUACUGCCGGGGUCAACUCGGAGGAAGGUGGGGAUGACGUCAAAUCAUCAUGCCCCUUAUGUCUUGGGCUUCACGCAUGCUACAAUGGCCGGUACAAAGGGCUGCAAUACCGUAAGGUGGAGCGAAUCCCAAAAAGCCGGUCCCAGUUCGGAUUGAGGUCUGCAACUCGACCUCAUGAAGUCGGAGUCGCUAGUA